This 73-nucleotide transfer RNA is filed under the name Brevibacterium luteolum. RNAcentral describes it as "tRNA-Arg". It matches the Rfam family "tRNA". From Rfam's summary of the family: Transfer RNA (tRNA) molecules are approximately 80 nucleotides in length. Their secondary structure includes four short double-helical elements and three loops (D, anti-codon, and T loops). The record is from RNAcentral. RNAcentral also lists the same sequence under 1 other name. Lineage: Bacteria; Bacillati; Actinomycetota; Actinomycetes; Micrococcales; Brevibacteriaceae.
GCCCGCGUAGCUCAGCGGAUAGAGCGUCUGCCUCCGGAGCAGAAGGUCGUAGGUUCGAAUCCUGUCGCGGGCG